UGGCAAUGAGGACACCCUAAAUUAAAAUGAUUCAAUAGCUGAAUUACAAAUUAUACGCUAUUCUGAGCCAGUG
Molecule: small nucleolar RNA, 73 nt
Organism: Tachysurus fulvidraco (yellow catfish)
Lineage: Eukaryota; Metazoa; Chordata; Actinopteri; Siluriformes; Bagridae
Product: small nucleolar RNA U54
Exons: 1
Source: RefSeq, a predicted model, not a curated record